RNAcentral lists this ribosomal RNA (405 nucleotides) under uncultured bacterium. RNAcentral's name for it is "partial 16S ribosomal RNA". It matches the Rfam family "Bacterial small subunit ribosomal RNA", at positions 28 to 526 of the family's 1533-position model. The record is from RNAcentral.
GAUGAACGCUGGCGGCGUGCCUAAUACAUGCAAGUCGAGCGAAGCGGGGACGGGGGCGUAACACGUGGAUAACCGCCUAUAACCCUGGGAUAACUUCGGGAAACAGGAGCUAAACCGGAUACUCAGAGAUCGAUCCGCGCUGCGUUAGCUAGUUGUUAAGGUAACGGCUUACCAAGGCAACGCCGCAUCGCCGACCUGAGAGGGUGAUCGGCCACACUGGAACUGAGACACGGCCCAGACUCCUACGGGAGGCAGCAGUAGGGAAUCUUCCGCAAUGGGCGAAAGCCUGACGGAGCAACGCCGCGUGAGUGAUGAAGGUCUUCGGAUCGUAAAACUCUGUUAUUAGGGAAGCGGUACCUAAUCAGAAAGCCACGGCUAACUACGUGCCAGCAGCCGCGGUAAUUC